AUGGUCGCUGGUAACUUGGAAAUGUUGAUGCGAGGUGUGAAGGUUUUACAUAUCACGUCUAGUGGCCCUAAUCUUGAUGCAGUUCUUGGCUUCCUCAGAGUCUUUCCUUACUUGGAGAAGCUAUACAUAAUGUCAUCUCUGCAGACGGAUAUGCAAAAUGUGCAUCAUCAUGAGCCAACAGCUCUGAUUGAGUCUCUUGACCAUAUCAGAUAUGUAGAGUUGAAGUGUUACACGGGCACGGAGCCGGAUGUUGACUUUGCUAAGUUCUUUGUUCUCAAUGCUAAGGCGCUCGAGUUGAUGAAAUUUGUUGUCAAAGGCAGAUGCACUCAGAAAUGGAGAACUGAUCAAUACAAGUGCCUACAGUUUGAUAGUAGGGCUUCUCCAAAUGCUCUAUUGGAUUUUAGAUCUUACUCUGGUCAUGCAUAUCCUGCUGGAUGUAUCCGCAGGGGCAAUCACCAUAAUGAGCAUGUCCUGUCCAUGGUUAAUCCCUUCGAUAGCUCUUCUUGUAGUCACUGCAGAGAUGCCUGA
RNAcentral lists this ribosomal RNA (528 nucleotides) under Triticum aestivum (bread wheat). RNAcentral's name for it is "partial small subunit ribosomal RNA". The record is from RNAcentral. Lineage: Eukaryota; Viridiplantae; Streptophyta; Magnoliopsida; Poales; Poaceae.